GUGCUCACUUCGGCAGCACAUAUACUAAAAUUGGAAUGAUACAGAGAAGAUUAGCAUGGCCUCUGUGCAAGGAUGACAUGCAAAUUUGUGAAGCACUCCAUGUUUUU
Molecule: small nuclear RNA, 107 nt
Filed under: Tupaia belangeri chinensis (Chinese tree shrew)
Lineage: Eukaryota; Metazoa; Chordata; Mammalia; Scandentia; Tupaiidae
Source: RNAcentral